Molecule: ribosomal RNA, 487 nt
Filed under: uncultured bacterium
Lineage: Bacteria
Description: bacterial SSU rRNA
Rfam family: Bacterial small subunit ribosomal RNA
Source: RNAcentral
ACGAACGCUGGCGGCAUGCCUAACACAUGCAAGUCGAACGAGAUCUUCGGGUCUAGUGGCGCACGGGUGCGUAACGCGUGGGAAUCUGCCCUCAGGUUCGGAAUAACCAUUGGAAACGAUGGCUAAUACCGGAUGAUGACGUUAAGUCCAAAGAUUUAUCGCCUGAGGAUGAGCCCGCGUAGGAUUAGCUAGUUGGUGUGGUAAAGGCGCACCAAGGCGACGAUCCUUAGCUGGUCUGAGAGGAUGAUCAGCCACACUGGGACUGAGACACGGCCCAGACUCCUACGGGAGGCAGCAGUGGGGAAUAUUGGACAAUGGGCGCAAGCCUGAUCCAGCAAUGCCGCGUGAGUGAUGAAGGCCUUAGGGUUGUAAAGCUCUUUUACCCGGGAUGAUAAUGACAGUACCGGGAGAAUAAGCUCCGGCUAACUCCGUGCCAGCAGCCGCGGUAAUACGGAGGGAGCUAGCGUUGUUCGGAAUUACUGGGCGU